UACGAAGGGGGCUAGCGUUGCCCGGAAUCACUGGGCGUAAAGCGCACGUAGGCGGAUCCUUAAGUCGGGGGUGAAAUCCUGGAGCUCAACUCCAGAACUGCCUUCGAUACUGAGGAUCUCGAGUCCGGGAGAGGUGAGUGGAACUGCGAGUGUAGAGGUGAAAUUCGUAGAUAUUCGCAAGAACACCAGUGGCGAAGGCGGCUCGCUGGCCCGGUACUGACGCUGAGGUGCGAAAGCGUGGGGAGCAAACAGG
This 253-nucleotide ribosomal RNA is filed under the name uncultured bacterium. RNAcentral describes it as "partial 16S ribosomal RNA". It matches the Rfam family "Bacterial small subunit ribosomal RNA", at positions 524 to 776 of the family's 1533-position model. The record is from RNAcentral.